RNAcentral lists this long non-coding RNA (217 nucleotides) under Bos taurus (domestic cattle). Its description in RNAcentral is "long non-coding RNA NONBTAT022664". Lineage: Eukaryota; Metazoa; Chordata; Mammalia; Artiodactyla; Bovidae. The record is from RNAcentral.
AUAGUAAGUCAGAAGGUUGUUAUAAGUAAUAAAAUGUGAUUAUGGAUUUCUCUGAAAAUUAAUAUGACAGCACAACGACACAUCCUAUUUGAUGGGCACAUGAUGACAUAGAAGAUUAUUUCUGACAAAAUAUCUCAGGAUUUCAUCAAUUUUCCCAAGAACCCUCUAUAUCCUUUAAAAUUCAAAUUAUUCUCUUUUGAAGAGCUACUUUUUUUCA